AAUAUAAAGAACAUGAUGUUGGUUCAGAUUAAAUGCUAUAUAAGUACAUUACACAUGCAAAUUAUACGUUUUAUAUAUAUAAUAUAUAAAAUAUGUAGUGCAAACGUGAGUAAAAAAUAUGAAUAUAAGAACUAUAAAUAAAGUUAAAUACUUUAUAAAUAUAUAUAUAUAUAUUAAUAUAUAAAUAUAUAUAAAAAUAAUAUUAUAUAAAAUAAUAUUUGUUUAUAGUCUAUCAUAUAAUGGUUUAGGUAGUAGGUAUUAUAAAGGUUAUACCUAGCCAACGAUCCAUAAUCAUUAAUUAAAGUUAUAAUGAUCACGUUGAUUCUGAAAUAUAAUCAAUAUCUAUAUGAUACAGCAGUGGGGAAUAUUGGACAAUGGUAUAAAUACUGAUCCAGUAACUUAUAAGAAUGAUAUAUAAUAAUAAUAAUAUAUAUAAUAUAUAAUAUAUAAUAUAUAUAUAAAUUGAUUAAAAAUAAAGUUCAUAAAUAAUAAAAAUAAUGAUAUUAAUUAUCUUAUUAAAUAAUAAGAAAAUAUAUAUUUAUAUAUAUUUUUUUAAUAAUCCUGGCCUAUAUUUGUGCCAGCAGUCGCGGUAAUACAAAGAGGGUAAGCAUUAAUCAUAAUGGUUUAAAGGAUCCGUAGAAUUAAUAUUAUUAUAUAUAUAUAUAUAAUAAAUUAGAGUUAAUAAAUUUAAUUAAAGAAUUAUAAUAGUAAAGAUGAAAUAAUUAUAAUAAUUAUAAGACUGAUAUAUGUGAAAAUAUUAAUUAAAUAUUAACUGACAUUGAGGGAUGAAAACUAAAGUAGCAAAACAGAUUCGAUACCUGUGUAGUUUUAGUAGUAAACUAUGAAUACUAUUAUUUAUAUAUAAUAUAUAAAUAAUAAACGAAAGUGUAAGUAUUCCACCUGAAGAGUACGUUAAUGAAACUCAAAACAAUAGACGGUUAUAGUCAACAACAGUGGAGCAUGUUAUUUAAUUCGAUAAUCCACGACUAACCUUACCAUAUUUUGAAUAUUUAUAUAUAUUAUUAAUAUAUAUAAUUACAGGCGUUACAUUGUUGUCUUUAAUUCAUGCUGUAAAGUUUAAGAUUAAGUUCAUAAAUGAAUAAAACUCCAUAUAUAUAAAAAUUAUCUUAUAUAUAAUAUUAUAUUAUUAAUUAAUAUAAUGAAAGGAAUUAAGACAAAUCAUAAUGACCCUUAUAAUAUGGGCUAUAGACGUGCUAUAAUAAAAUAAUAAAUAAAGUUAAAUAAUAUAUUAAUAAAUAAUAUAUAAUAAAUAACAUAAAAUAUUUUAAUAUUUAAUAUAUUUUUAUAUUAUAUAUAAUAUGAAUUAUUAACUGUAAUUUGUUAAUAUGAAAUAAGAAUUGUUAGUAAUACGUAAAUUAGUAUGUUACGGUGAAUAUUAUUACUGUUUCGCACUAAUCACUCAUCACGCGUUGAAAUAUAUUAUUAUCUAAAUAUAUUAUAUAAUAUAUAAUAUUUUAUUAAUAUUUAUAUUAAAUAUAUAUAAGAAAUAAUAUUAAUUAAUGCGAAGUUGAAAUACAGUUACUGUAGGGGAACCUGCAGUGGGCUUAUAAUAUAC
This 1576-nucleotide non-coding RNA is filed under the name Naumovozyma castellii. RNAcentral describes it as "small subunit ribosomal RNA". It matches the Rfam family "Bacterial small subunit ribosomal RNA". The record is from RNAcentral. Lineage: Eukaryota; Fungi; Ascomycota; Saccharomycetes; Saccharomycetales; Saccharomycetaceae.